This 440-nucleotide unclassified non-coding RNA is filed under the name Hevea brasiliensis (rubber tree). The record is from RNAcentral. Lineage: Eukaryota; Viridiplantae; Streptophyta; Magnoliopsida; Malpighiales; Euphorbiaceae.
GUGAACUCUAGCUGAUUAGAUCCGUUGGUGGAGGGACCCAAGUUCACCGGCCUCAUGGGCGCCGGCACCGCCGGCCACGACCUCGGCGGCGGCUACUACGACAUGGCGUUCUACCGCAAGCUCGAGGAAGGAUCCAACAUAUCCAACAUGUCCAUCGACAGCGCUGCCACCAACGGCAUGUCGCUCGAAAACAGCAGCGUCGGCUCCAGCGACUCCCACACCGGGAUCCUCAACCACCCCGGCCUCCGCCCCGUCCCCGCCGCCAACUACUCCGUCGGCCACAGCGUGCUCCGCCCCGGCCGGGUCUCGCACGCGCUAACGGAUGACGCUCUCGCGCAGGCGCUGAUGGACCCGCGGCACCCCACCGAGACGCUGGAGAACUACGACGAAUGGGCAAUUGACCUCCCGAAGCUGAACAUGGGGAUGGCGUUCGCGCAGGG